UAGGGAAUCUUCGGCAAUGGGGGGAACCCUGACCGAGCAACGCCGCGUGAGUGAAGAAGGUUUUCGGAUCGUAAAGCUCUGUUGUAAGAGAAGAACGGGUGUGAGAGUGGAAAGUUCACACUGUGACGGUAUCUUACCAGAAAGGGACGGCUAACUACGUGCCAGCAGCCGCGGUAAUACGUAGGUCCCGAGCGUUGUCCGGAUUUAUUGGGCGUAAAGCGAGCGCAGGCGGUUAGAUAAGUCUGAAGUUAAAGGCUGUGGCUUAACCAUAGUAUGCUUUGGAAACUGUUUAACUUGAGUGCAGAAGGGGAGAGUGGAAUUCCAUGUGUAGCGGUGAAAUGCGUAGAUAUAUGGAGGAACACCGGUGGCGAAAGCGGCUCUCUGGUCUGUAACUGACGCUGAGGCUCGAAAGCGCGGGGAGCAAACAGGAUUAGAUACCCUGGUAGUCCACGCCGUAAACGAUGAGUGCUAGGUGUUGGGUCCUUUCCGGGACUCAGUGCCGCAGCUAACGCAUUAAGCACUCCGCCUGGGGAGUACGACCGCAAGGUUG
RNAcentral lists this ribosomal RNA (550 nucleotides) under uncultured bacterium. RNAcentral describes it as "bacterial SSU rRNA". It matches the Rfam family "Bacterial small subunit ribosomal RNA", at positions 355 to 896 of the family's 1533-position model. The record is from RNAcentral.